This is a long non-coding RNA of Anolis carolinensis (green anole), 1302 nucleotides long. RefSeq lists it as uncharacterized. The transcript has 2 exons. NCBI's taxonomy places the organism in Eukaryota, Metazoa, Chordata, Lepidosauria, Squamata, Anolidae. The record is from RefSeq and is a predicted model, not a curated record.
GAGGAGGAAAAGAAGGGGAAGAAGAAAAGAGAAGGAGAGGAGGGGAAGAGGGAAAAAAUACUCCAUCAAAAUAUUAAGGCCAUCCUGUUUGACAGCGGGAGAGGCUGCCUGGAGGCCUGGAGGAGUCCCCUUCCCUGGAGGCUUUUUAAAGCAGAGUCUGGAUGGCCAUCUGAAGGGAGUGCUUUGAUUUUGCGUCCCUGAAUAGCAGAGUGGGUUAGGCUUGUUUCUCUAAGGGAGAGGCAAAGAUGGAGAGGCCUCCCAAGGUCUCUCCUCAGCAGCGCUUGCGUCAUCGCCUCAGUGAAUCCUCAUGGAAACCAAGCGAGGCUCCGCCCUCUCCCAGGCCUUGGUCGCGCCUAGCCUCGCGGGAAUUGUAGUUCAAAUUUCCUUCGGCCCCCUUGAGAAACAAUAGCAGCGGGACUCCAACUCCCAGGGUGCCCCGCGCCUCAUUCGGCUCCUUCUCGGCCCCCCCUCCCGUCGCGCUUUCCUCCUUUCAGCUGCUUGGGAAUCUCUGUGAGGAGAAGCGUCUUGUUUGCUUGUGUGGAAUGAAAGCGGUUUGAUACCGCUUUUAAGCUCCACGGUUCAUUGCUAGGGAACUCUGGGGGUUGCCCCACCAAACUACAAAUCCCAGGAUUAUAUAGCACUGAGCCAAGCUCUAGAUUUCAAAGAUGAAAAAAACAUGUGGCCAGGCAACUUCAGAGUAUGAACAACACAGGGAAAAUGGACUAUGGUAAGUAUCCUAAAAUGAAAUCUUAAUAAUAUUUUAUUUUUAUCCGGCCCUAUCUCCUCAGGGGACUCAGGGUGGUGAGAAAUAUGAGCGUAUGCAGAAUCUUGUGAGGUUCUUGACUACGCUACAUAUAUUCGAUUUAUUUGGCUGCAUACAGUGCUGGGAGCAUUGGAGUUCUUUUUAGUUUCUCUAUUUGCAUCUCUCCUCUAGUGCUGUGGUUUUUAACCUUGAAUAUGCUUUGAAUUUCUAAUGGUUUUAAACUGAUUUUUAAAAAUACUAUUUAUUUUUAAUUCUGUUUCAGUGUUUGCAUAUUUGUAUAUUUUAAAUUGUGUGCUAAUACUUUAUGUUCAGCCGCUUUGAGCCUCCUUCAGGAGAGCUAAUAAAGGGUAGAAAUGAAUAUUUUUUAUCUUUUCAUUUUAUUUACUACAUUUAUACCCCACUCGUAUCUCAACCUAAAGCGGAUUAAGAGCGUCUUCCAAAUUGGCAACAAUUACAUGCCAUACAAACAAACAUACAAAUACAAUAAACACAUACCUUAAAAUCCAUAGAAAUUAAAAAAUCAACAUCAAUACAUUAAA